CCACCAGGUGGAUGUGGAGGAACCAUGCAGAGAAGAGCAGCAGGAUCUCGCCACUAGGGUGACACGCAAAUUUGUGACAUGCUCCAUAUUUUC
Small nuclear RNA from Ictidomys tridecemlineatus (thirteen-lined ground squirrel), 93 nucleotides. NCBI's taxonomy places the organism in Eukaryota, Metazoa, Chordata, Mammalia, Rodentia, Sciuridae. The record is from Ensembl.